UGGCGUGACCCCUGGCCUCUUCUAUCUUUAAAAGAGUAAGAGCAGAAGCUGCCUUUUCAGCUGCUUUAAGAAAUCACAGUGGUGUAAAUUCUUAAGCUUCUUUAAGCACUUUAUGUGGACUGAUGCAAGCUUCUUUAAGGCCUUGAUGUGCGCUAAUUACAGACAUCCCUUCAAAAGGUCUCCUUUUCUUCAUAGAAUGCAGACUUGGGGCAUCUCUAAUUCUCGUAAUUUCUUCUAGGUUUUGGUGUCUAAAAAUGUAUGCUCCGUGCUAGGCGUUGCAUGUUGAGCUUUACAGCUUUCCCUUGUGAUGCAUGUGGAAGGACACUGUAGCAAUUUUUAUUUUAUUUUUUCCUCAGGGAAGCUAUUCUUGAAAACUGUGGCAAGAUCGAAGACAGUUGAAUCCAGUUUUAUUAAACGUAUAAAAUAAUGAAAUGCUCUCAGGGAAGAUACCGAACCUGGGGGGCUUUCGGUGCUGAAGGUGGAUAUACCAAAGAUCAGUCUGUAAAAUGAGCUGUUACCUUCUUAUAACAGUUCAUUCUUAUCUUCUAAUAUCUGCCUUACCCCGGACCACGCAGAUGCUGCCGUUGUGAUGCAGUACCAUUCUGUGAAGGUGAAAUUCAGAUGGAAGACAGGAACCUGCUCAGCUGUACCCCAUACAGGUGAGGGACAAAGAUGGAAGACACAGAGUGAAUGAAAACUCCUGAUAAAAGCUGUGCCUGCAAUGUUUCUUGCUUGCUGCAUUGUACGCAGUCUGAGAUGUAGAGGGCAAAUUAAGUACUGUACUGGAAAGGCAGUGUCAUCCCUGAGAUGCUGCAAUUGCUAAGAGUCUACGGAUUAGGCUCCAUCUUAAGACAAAGCUAAAUAUGUGCAUAAUAUAUACUAUUGUGUAAUAUUUUUAUGAAAUGAGCCCUGGUUGUAUUUUAAGUUCUGUUUAUAGUCAUUUCUUGUGGCAGCGUAUUUCUGCUUUGUUCAGUUGUCUUAACAUUGUGAUUUUUUUUUCUUUGUGAAUGACAAGUGUAUUAUUAAACUGAAUAUCUGGAUUGCA
Oxyura jamaicensis (ruddy duck) is the source of this 1045-nucleotide long non-coding RNA. RefSeq lists it as uncharacterized. Lineage: Eukaryota; Metazoa; Chordata; Aves; Anseriformes; Anatidae. The record is from RefSeq and is a predicted model, not a curated record. The transcript is spliced from 2 exons.